This 288-nucleotide ribosomal RNA is filed under the name Triticum aestivum (bread wheat). RNAcentral's name for it is "partial small subunit ribosomal RNA". The record is from RNAcentral. Lineage: Eukaryota; Viridiplantae; Streptophyta; Magnoliopsida; Poales; Poaceae.
AUGAUACUGUGUGCCCAUAAACGGAAGCUGCCAGUUAUUGCCUUGAAACUGGAUUUUCACAAAGCUUUUGAUAGUGUUAGUUGGCAUUGCUGGGAUCAAGUGCUCAAGGCCCGGGGUUUUCCAUCAUCAUGGAAUCGGUGGGUUCGUUCUAUCCUUUCCACUGGGCGCUCUCGAGUUCUGAUCAAUGGUGAGCUGGGUGAUCCCAUCCUUGCCAAGAGAGGGUUCAGGCAAGGUGACUCCCUAUCCCCGUACCUCUUCAUCAUGGUUGCGGACGUGCUAUAGAGGCUA